GGGCGUUUAGCGCAGUGGUAGCGCGUAUGCUUUGCAAAUGCGAGCCAAUGGCUUACAUUGAGUGUGUAUAAGGUCCAGGGUUCAAUCCCCUGAACGUCCA
Molecule: transfer RNA, 100 nt
Filed under: Moniliophthora roreri
Lineage: Eukaryota; Fungi; Basidiomycota; Agaricomycetes; Agaricales; Marasmiaceae
Also listed under: 1 other name
Rfam family: tRNA
About the family: Transfer RNA (tRNA) molecules are approximately 80 nucleotides in length.
Source: Rfam by way of RNAcentral